This 1044-nucleotide ribosomal RNA is filed under the name uncultured bacterium. RNAcentral's name for it is "bacterial SSU rRNA". It matches the Rfam family "Bacterial small subunit ribosomal RNA", at positions 1 to 1020 of the family's 1533-position model. The record is from RNAcentral.
AGUCGCGCGGAUCUUCCAGAAGAUUAGAGUUUGAUCAUGGCUCCAGAUUGAACGCUGGCGGAAUGCUUUACACAUGCAAGUCGAACGGCAGCACGGACUUCGGUCUGGUGGCGAGUGGCGAACGGGUGAGUAACAUAUCGGAACGUAUCCAAUAAUGGGGGAUAACUAAUCGAAAGGUUGGCUAAUACCGCAUACGCCCUGAGGGGGAAAGCUAGGGAUCUUCGGACCUGGCGUUAAUGGAGCGGCCGAUAUCUGAUUAGCUAGUUGGUGGGGUAAAGGCCCACCAAGGCGACGAUCAGUAGCUGGUCUGAGAGGACGACCAGCCACACUGGAACUGAGACACGGUCCAGACUCCUACGGGAGGCAGCAGUGGGGAAUUUUGGACAAUGGGCGCAAGCCUGAUCCAGCCAUUCCGCGUGAGUGAAGAAGGCCUUCGGGUUGUAAAGCUCUUUCGCAAGGGAAGAAAACUUAUCCUCUAACAUAGGAUGAGGUUGACGGUACCUUGAUAAGAAGCACCGGCUAACUACGUGCCAGCAGCCGCGGUAAUACGUAGGGUGCGAGCGUUAAUCGGAAUUACUGGGCGUAAAGCGUGCGCAGGCUGUUUUGUAAGUCAGAUGUGAAAUCCCCGAGCUCAACUUGGGAACUGCGUUUGAAACUACAAGACUAGAAUAGGUCAGAGGGGGGUAGAAUUCCACGUGUAGCAGUGAAAUGCGUAGAGAUGUGGAGGAAUAUCAAUGGCGAAGGCAGCCCCCUGGGAUCAUAUUGACGCUCAUGCACGAAAGCGUGGGGAGCAACAGGAUUAGAUACCCUGGUAGUCCACGCCCUAAACGAUGUCUACUAGUUGUUGGUGGAGUAAAAUCCAUGAGUAACGCAGCUAACGCGUGAAGUAGACCGCCUGGGGAGUACGGUCGCAAGAUUAAAACUCAAAUGAAUUGACGGGGGCCCGCACAAGCGGUGGAUUAUGUGGAUUAAUUUCGAUGCAACGCGAAAACCUUACCUGGCCUUGACAUGUACGGAACUUUCCAGGAGAUGGAAUUGGUGCUU